UCCCUGGUAGCUCAGAUGGUAAAGAGUCUGCCUACAAUGCAGGAGACCCGGGUUCGAUCCCUGGGUCGGGAA
RNAcentral lists this transfer RNA (72 nucleotides) under Bos taurus (domestic cattle). It matches the Rfam family "tRNA". From Rfam's summary of the family: Transfer RNA (tRNA) molecules are approximately 80 nucleotides in length. Their secondary structure includes four short double-helical elements and three loops (D, anti-codon, and T loops). Lineage: Eukaryota; Metazoa; Chordata; Mammalia; Artiodactyla; Bovidae. RNAcentral also lists the same sequence under 2 other names. The record is from Rfam by way of RNAcentral.